GAUGAACGCUAGCGGCAGGCCUAAUACAUGCAAGUCGAGGGGCAGCAUAGUCUUCGGACUGAUGGCGACCGGCGCACGGGUGCGUAACGCGUAUGCAACCUACCCACAACAGGGGGAUAGCCCGGAGAAAUUCGGAUUAAUACCCCAUAAUGCAGGGGUGCCACAUGGUACUAUUUGCUAAAGAUUUAUCGGUUGUGGAUGGGCAUGCGUCUGAUUAGCUAGUUGGUAGUGUAACGGACUACCAAGGCUACGAUCAGUAGCGGGUCUGAGAGGAUGAUCCGCCACACUGGCACUGAGAUACGGGCCAG
RNAcentral lists this ribosomal RNA (308 nucleotides) under uncultured bacterium. Its description in RNAcentral is "bacterial SSU rRNA". It matches the Rfam family "Bacterial small subunit ribosomal RNA", at positions 28 to 334 of the family's 1533-position model. The record is from RNAcentral.